ACCCUUCCAGCUCAGUCGGUAGCGCAUGGGACUCUUAAUCACAGGGUUGUGGGUUCAGUCCCCACAUUGGGCA
This is a non-coding RNA of Podarcis lilfordi (Lilford's wall lizard), 73 nucleotides long. The record is from the annotation of a GenBank genome assembly. Lineage: Eukaryota; Metazoa; Chordata; Lepidosauria; Squamata; Lacertidae.